GCUCACCUCACCAGUCCGUAUGCUGAAACUGCAACAAGAACAGAGAUUGGCAUGGCCCCUGCACAAAAAUGACACAAGAAUUUAUGAAGUGUUCCAUAUUUUA
This is a small nuclear RNA of Acomys russatus (golden spiny mouse), 103 nucleotides long. The record is from RefSeq and is a predicted model, not a curated record. NCBI's taxonomy places the organism in Eukaryota, Metazoa, Chordata, Mammalia, Rodentia, Muridae.